Echinostoma caproni is the source of this 45-nucleotide non-coding RNA. Lineage: Eukaryota; Metazoa; Platyhelminthes; Trematoda; Plagiorchiida; Echinostomatidae. The record is from Rfam.
GAUUAGCUGACGAGUCCCAAACAGGACGAAACAGCUGUCCAGUGC